CCUUACCAGGUCUUGACAUCCUCUGAAAACCCUAGAGAUAGGGCUUCUCCUUCGGGAGCAGAGUGACAGGUGGUGCAUGGUUGUCGUCAGCUCGUGUCGUGAGAUGUUGGGUUAAGUCCCGCAACGAGCGCAACCCUUGAUCUUAGUUGCCAUCAUUAAGUUGGGCACUCUAAGGUGACUGCCGGUGACAAACCGGAGGAAGGUGGGGAUGACGUCAAAUCAUCAUGCCCCUUAUGACCUGGGCUACACACGUGCUACAAUGGACGGUACAAAGAGCUGCAAGACCGCGAGGUGGAGCUAAUCUCAUAAAACCGUUCUCAGUUCGGAUUGUAGGCUGCAACUCGCCUACAUGAAGCUGGAAUCGCUAGUAAUCGCGGAUCAGCAUGCCGCGGUGAAUACGUUCCCGGGCCUUGUACACACCGCCCGUCACACCACGAGAGUUUGUA
RNAcentral lists this ribosomal RNA (446 nucleotides) under Bacillus thuringiensis. Its description in RNAcentral is "bacterial SSU rRNA". It matches the Rfam family "Bacterial small subunit ribosomal RNA", at positions 969 to 1416 of the family's 1533-position model. Lineage: Bacteria; Bacillati; Bacillota; Bacilli; Caryophanales; Bacillaceae. The record is from RNAcentral.